This is an RNA transcript of Prunus dulcis (almond), 2729 nucleotides long. It is a transcript of the gene named dynamin-related protein 3A-like, with no coding region annotated. NCBI's taxonomy places the organism in Eukaryota, Viridiplantae, Streptophyta, Magnoliopsida, Rosales, Rosaceae. The record is from RefSeq and is a predicted model, not a curated record. The transcript is spliced from 20 exons.
CAUAAAAGGUCCGCUUCGUAUCGACCAAAAGAAUAAACAGUCACCUUCGGACUCUUUACUUCUCUUCCAAGAACUACACCAGCUAAACUCUCGCACGCACCUCUGUCUCCCUUUAUAUAAAACCUUAACUUCAAAACCCACUCUCUGUUUCUCUCUCUCUAGACUGUAGCGUAGGGUUUUUCUCUCUCGAGAAUCAAUGGGGGAAUUAGAUGCUGGACAUGUUGACUCUUUGCCUACUAGUUCCAGUUCAAGACCUUCAGUGACGAUCGGUUCGUCGCUAAUUCCGGUCAUCAACAAGCUUCAGGACAUUCUUGCACAGGCAAACAGCGAAUUAGAUGUUUCGCUGCCUCAAGUGGCGGUUGUUGGAAGCCAAAGCAGCGGCAAAUCGAGCGUUCUCGAAGCACUAGUCGGCCGUGACUUUCUUCCUCGCGGCUGCGAUAUCUGCACUCGCAGACCGCUCGUGUUGAUGCUCGAGAAUCGCCUGCCCAAACCCGGCGAUGACCGGACCGAGUGGGGCGAGUUUCGCCACUUGCCUGAAAAGCGCUUCUAUGACUUCUCUGAAAUUCGCGCAGAAAUUCAGGCUGAGACGGAAAGAGAGGCAGGAUUGAACAAAGGGGUUUCGGAUAAACAAAUUCGGCUGAAGAUAACCUCUCCAAAUGUUCUUAAUAUGACUCUUGUUGAUUUGCCCGGCAUCACCAAAGUUCCUGUUGGAGAUCAACCUAAUGAUAUAGAAGCAAGGAUUAGGAAGAUGGUUAUGACCCAUAUUUCGCAACAAAACUGCAUUAUAUUGGCAGUUACUCCUGCGAAUUCUGAUUUGGCAACCUCCGAUGCACUUCAGAUGGCAAGAGAAGCCGACCCAGAUGGUUUUCGUACAAUUGGUGUUAUCACCAAGCUCGAUAUAAUGGACAGGGGCACCGAUGCCCGCAGCUUCUUGCUCGGGAAAGUUAUUCCACUAAAGCUUGGUUACGUUGGUGUUGUGAAUCGUAGCCAGGAGGACAUCAAUAAAAACCGUGGCAUUGCUACUGCACUUGCUUACGAGGAGAAAUUCUUCAAUGAUCACUCAGUAUACAGGGGUCUCUCUGAUCACUGCGGCAUCCCCCAGUUAGCAAGGAAGCUGAAUGAGAUUCUGGAGCAGCAUAUCAGAAUGGUUUUCCCUGCUUUGAAGGCUGAUUUGAAUUCUAAAAUGGGUACUGUUUUAAAAGAACUGCAGACAAAUGGAAAACCUAUAGAAUCUAAAAUGGAACAGGGAGUGAUUUUGCUGAACAUUUUAACGCAAUAUUGUGAAGCUUUUGCUGCCAUGGUGGAUGGAAAAAGUCAGGAGAUGUCAACUAAAGAAUUGUCAGGAGGAGCCAGGAUCCACUACAUCCUCCAGUCAAUUUUUGUAAAGUGCUUGGAGGAAGUGGACCCCUGUGAUGAUCUAACUGAUGAUGAUAUUCGAAUGGCUAUUCAAAAUGCUUCUGGUGCAAGAAAUGCUUUAUUUGUGCCUGAGGUCCCAUUUGAAUUUUUAGUUAGGAGACAAAUUGCUCGUCUGUUAGACCCAAGCCUUCAGUGCCUUCGGUUUGUUUAUGAUGAACUCAUGAAGAUAAGCCACGCUUGUGAGGUAACUGAGUUGCAAAGGUUUCCAGUAUUGAGAAAGCAUCUGGAUGAAAUCAUGGUAAAAUUUUUGCGUGAUGGUGUAGAACCUGCUGAGAGAAUGAUAGGAAAUCUUAUUGAGAUGGAGGUGGAUUAUAUAAACACUUCACAUCCAAAAUUUUUAGGUGGGAACAAAGCUGCUGAGCUUGCUCUGCAGCUGUUGAAAUCACCACAGGGUGUUACAGAUGCUGAAGGCCAGACUUCCCAGACAGCUCGAACUAUUCGGUCUGGGCUUUUGAAUGGACUUUUACCUAACCAGGGGAGUCGUCCUCAGCCUAAUAACGAGAAUCAUGUAUCUUCUGGAACUAAGGCUUGGAUUCCAUCUCUAUUCGGAAGUAGGACAUCAGCUGGAGAGCCUAUGGCUUGCAGACCUUUUGGUGAACCAAGUCAUUCAGAGUCAAUGCCCUCUAUAAUCCAUUUGAGAGAGCCACCAUCCAGCUUAAGGCCGGUUCAAAUGACAGAAAAUAAAGCAGUGGAAAUUAUUGUAACCAAAUUACUCUUGCGGUCGUAUUAUGACAUUGUUAGAAAGAACAUUCAAGACCUAGUUCCAAAAGCUAUAAUGCACUUUCUGGUCAAUCUUACAAAACGGAACCUUCAUAGGACCUUUAUUCAAAAACUGUACAGAGAGAACCUGUUUGAAGAACUGCUGCAGGAGCACGAUGCACAUGUUUCACAAAGAAAACGUAACCAAGAAUUAUUCAAGUUGUUGGAGCAAUCUGUGCAGGCACUCGAGAAGGUUGACUUCGAUGUCUCAUCCCAAACUUAAGUUUGGGCACUGAUGCUUCCAUUGGACUGCCAAGGAUUCCAGGGACUUCUGCCCAUCUACACACGACAGUCGGCGGUGAGAUAGGCCAAGUUUCAUACCGUCCGUUUCCCAUGCCAUCCAUGACCAAGUCCACAGCUUGAAGAUCAUUUCAAUGAGAAAAGCCAGGCAUUUUAUCCAAUAUUUACUGGCCAUUUAGAUGAUUACCAUAUAUGAUUUCCAGGUUGUACAGUGUUUUUUCUUCUCCCGUAUGCUUUCUGCAUAUGGAAGCUUUAAAGUUGUACGAUUAAAGAUAAUAAAAAUUUAAUUCAAAAUAGCAGAGUUAUAUUAGUUA